UCCCCCCUCCCGGCCACCAUGAACACCAACGUGUGCGUGGAGAGCGGCCCCAACCCCGAGGCGCCGGGGCUGCCCAAGGACAGCCACCUGCCCGAGGGGGCCCUCAACAGCCUUGUGGAUUACAACUCGGAGAUGGAGAGGUACCGCUCCUUCGCCACCUUCUACAAGACCAACGGCGGCGCCUUCCCCCAGGCGGCCAAGAUCGCUCGCAUCACCACCCCCAUCUUCCCCAGCGCCGCCGCCGCCGCCGCCGCCCGCAUCGGCAUGUCCCCCUGGAACUGCGACACCGCCACGGCCGCCGCCGCCACCGCCAUGCUCUGGGGCAGCGGCGGCGGCGGCGGCGGCGGCGGCGCGGCGGGCGGCGCGAGGAAGCCCUCCUCCGCCGCCGCCGCCGCCUCCGCCUCCGCGGCCGCCGCCGCCGCCUCCUCGCUGCACGCCGGCAGGGGCGGCAUGCACCACCGGAGCGACUCGCAGCGGCUGGGCAAGCCCGGCUGCCCGCCGGCCGAGCAGCCCGCCCUGCCCAUGGCGAACGGCAACUUCCUCUCCACCCUCUCCCCCGAGCACUGCCGGCCGCUGGCCGGCGAGUGCAUGAACAAGCUCAAGUGCGGCGCCGCCGAAGCGGAGAUCAUGAACCUCCCCGAGCGCGUCGGCACCUUCUCGGCCAUCCCGGCGCUGGGCGGCCUCUCCCUGCCCCCCGGGGUCAUCGUCAUGACGGCCCUGCACUCCCCCGCCGCGGCCUCGGCCGCCGUCACAGACAGCGCCUUCCAGAUCGCCAACCUGGCGGACUGCCCGCAGAGCCACGCCUCGGCCUCGCCCGCCUCCGCCCUGGGCGCCGCCGCCGGCGCGGGGGGCGGCGGAGGCGGCGGCGGAGGAGGCGGCGGUGGCGGAGGGGGGGCCGGCGGCGGCAGCGGGGCCGGGGCCGGGGCGGGCAACCCCGCCAAGAAGAAGCGGAAACGCUGCGGGGUGUGCGUGCCCUGCAAGCGGCUCAUCAACUGUGGAGUCUGCAGCAGUUGCAGGAACCGCAAAACGGGACACCAGAUCUGCAAAUUUAGGAAAUGUGAAGAGCUUAAGAAAAAACCGGGCACUUCGCUAGAGGUAAAGGAAUGCCUUGGCAUGAAAACCUGUCCUGAAUCCACUGCCUGCUUGACAGAUAUAUACAAAGACUUGAAACAUGAGAGGAAAAGCGGAUGGUUGCAAGAAAAAAAACCCACAAAAAACCCCAACCAAAAGAAAGGAAUUAAACCCAGUACCGGGGCAUGUAUUAAUACCGUGCGAGUGCCUUUGCACGCAUUGGUUCCUGGGAGCAACGCACAGCAUCUUGCUUGACAGGCUAAGACUGACAGACCUCGACGAUGAAUCUCUACUGCCUUCUAAAAAGCAAAUCUACUCACAGAAGUAUUGCAAAGUAUCAAACAUAAACGGAGAGUGCGUGGAAGAUGCCAAACCUGUUGGUGAAGUCCUUCUUCAGAAGCGCUUCUAAGUACUCAUCGUUAACAUCGAAGAAUUUAGCUGAGCUGGACAGUGGUAUAUUGUCAGAGGGCAUUUGCAGGUAUUAGAAUUCCUAUUAACCCUUCUAUCAGGGAGCCAAUUAAAAAGAUUCUCGCAGACUCCAAGUUGGUGAUAAAAGAAUAUGAAAAUAAUAUAAAGUGGGGAAGAAAAGACACUGACCGCAAAGACAGCAUCUUGAUGAAUGGUGGUAAUAUGCAACAAUUCUGGGAGCAGCAGCUUUUAUGUUUUUGCGUUGUCCGAAAUUGUGAGUAAAUGGUAACUACUGCUUGGAGAAUUCAUUUAUCAGGGGUGCACUUCACCUUUAAGGAUGCUAUGUUUUAAAGUUAUAUCCAUGCACUCGAACAUGGUCGCAUAGCCAUUUUGAGUGUGGAUUGAAGUAUUUAAGAUACAAAAUUUCUACCUUUUGUUAUGAAAUUGGGACUAUUUGCUUGUUUUUCUAGUCACUGGUAUCGAUGGUUACAGAAAAAUAUCCAUGUGACUGUCAAUCACUGUUGUUAACCAUGAGGAAGGAGAGGUCCACUGAUUUAAUAAAAAAUGCAAAACUCAUCCAAAAGAGGAUCUUUUUAAAAAUACAAAAUCUGCAUCUAGACGCCAGAAUUCACUGUCACUGAUAACAGAGAAGAAAAAGUCUACUAGACUUAAAAAAUGGUUUUAAAUUUUCAUGAGUUCUCUGUAAAGCCAUCCACAGUUACGCUAGCUAAGAUGAAAUUGUAAGGUUUACCAACUGAUGUGCUUUGAGAUAUAAAUCACAAACUCAUUGUCUGACAUUAGGGAAAACCACAUUUUUCUCUCCUUCCACACUACCCAACAAAAACAUUUCUAUUUCCUUUAUACUAUGUAGUAUGUUUGAAUCUAUGUAACAAGAGUAUAUAAAUUUCUGAUUAUACUUUUGAGCUUGAUUUUGAUGCAACCAAUGAAAUUGAUAUGCUUCCCAAAUGAGAGUUAGUCAGAGGCGUACUUUAAUUCAUAUUAAACUGAAUCUUUUCCGGGAGGCGGGGGGAUUUCAAGGGAAUCUCUGCCAUGUAAAGAAAUCAUGCUGUCUGUCCAUAUAUGAAUCUAAGCAGUCAGACCUCAGAUUGCCUGUACAGAGCAAGACAUAUUAAAUGAGUUGUGACUACUGAGAGUUUGAAUAAUUGACGGAAAUUUCAAUGCAAUUAAUGUAAAGCAAAGGACACGAACUCAUUGCUGAGAAAUUAGGGUUUGUGGAUUAUCGAGGUAUGACAGUAAAUCCAAAUGUCAGCCCCCCUCUUUUUUCUCCAGCAUAAAACAGCAAACCCCAUGCUCCUAAUGCAGAUUUGUUAUGCUCUGGCAUAUCUAAUUUCUUAAACUGGUAAGACAAAGAUGACUGAUACCAAAUAAUAUAAGUGUACAUUUUUAAAAUCCAAAUGCUAUUUUAAAUGUAAGCUAAAAUGAGAACACUGCAUGGUUAAUAUUUAUCUCGCAUCCUUUCUCUUUGAGGCACAUCUUGUCAUAUAGGACUAUGCUGUUAAAGUGGUUCAUGGGAAUGAUGGGCAUGACUCCUUUGGCUAAUGGGAGCUGUGUGCAUGGAACAAUUUAGCUGUUAGUGCUCUGAGGAGAAGAGAACUUGAAUAGCAGGGGCUUGGAGAGCAAAAUAAAAAGAAAGCUGCUAAGGGCAUUUGAAAAUACACUCGCUAUUCUUUUUCUUCCUAAGAUUUGCUGCAGUAAACAACUGCUUCAAGAUUCCUCUUUAAAUAAGUGACAUGAAAUGGAAAAGAGCAUGACUUUGUAUCAACAGCCAUUCAAAAUGUACCCGGGGUCUCAAACUAACCUUGGGGGUAGGAAAAGCUUGCGGGGGGGGGGGUGUGCUGCCGGGGUGGUUGUUCAGGUUGGUUUCUUUCUUUGCUGGCCAGUGGUUUAAAGAAAUUAUCCCUAGUGGGAGCAUUCUGACCCAAAUAUCAGGGAUGCUGCAUUUCGUAUGGGGAGUGUAUUUAGGCCUGGAUUUUAAAAAUACAACUGUCUAAAAUUAGGUUGCCAAAUCCAUGUAAAGCGCUAAAGAAAUGGCCUGGUUUUCAAAAGAAUCAAAUAUCCAUGGACUCUGGGUCAGGGUCCUGACCCGGCAAAGCAGAUGAAUAUUCUCCCCAACCCCCCACCCCCAGGCAAGGCGAUUGCUCAUGCAUCUGAGGCUGAAGUGCUUAAGUGCUCCCUUAGGUAGGGGUUAGAGAACUUAAACAUGGGCGUAGAAUCGACUGAGCCCAUCCACUCUGUUAGAUCUUGGCCGGAGGGAGGUUUUUUCAUUUGAUUGUUUUUUUACCACUUUGCUUCCAUAGAUUUUUCCAGCCAAGCCAUAUGCAGCAAAGUGCUUUUAAACACAUUGCAAGCCUUGGUCCCCAACCUUGCCAGGACAAUUUCCCUUGGGGAGCAGGCUGCAAAUACACAAAUAGUUGUGGGGCUGCGUACAACUACUAAACUCAGGGCAAAUGUAUACCACAUGGGAGAGCGGCCUUUUUUAAAGGCUAAGCUAUCAGCAAGCUCUUCCUGAUGAUUAGUCAGGACCAGAAGAACCUGGGAUAUUAAAAAAAACCCAAAGAGCAUUAUACAUCACACAGCCCUUUCCUAAAUGUUAGGAUGCAGAUUGUUAGUGGGUUAAAAGAUGGCUUAAGGUACAGGAUGGGGACACAUAAACCCUGAGUCCAAGCCCUGCUUCCACCAAAAGGUUUACAUAUGACCCUGGGCAAGCCACUGACUAUUCACUUCUAAAUCCAUAAAAGGGCAAUAUACUUUUCUGCCUUUGGAGUAAAGGGAGACUAAAUUCCAUUAGUGAUUGUGAGGUCCUCAGAUAUUAAAUUCUUAAGUGCUUAGAUACAUCAGUAGAGGAAUUUUCCAAAGAGACAUUAUUGAAUAGAUCUGUGCAUGCUUUUUGGUAAUAUUCGUCAUAAUGUGUUGUUGUAUAUCUUUAUUCCUGAUAUUUUAUUUAUUACAAAGUAUUAAAGGUUGGGUUUCCUUAUGGGGGUGGAUUGACUUGGAGGAGUUCCACAGGGAAGGAAAAUGUUUUCCAUGUUAUAAGACUAAUAACAUAACGGGAAAAAGAAAAAGCUUAUGUUGCCAUUUGAUUGAGACAAUAAAUAAAUGCCUUCGCUUUGGCCG
RNA transcript from Grus americana (Whooping crane), 4614 nucleotides. It is a transcript of the gene named CXXC finger protein 4, with no coding region annotated. The transcript has 5 exons. NCBI's taxonomy places the organism in Eukaryota, Metazoa, Chordata, Aves, Gruiformes, Gruidae. The record is from RefSeq and is a predicted model, not a curated record.